UUUGUGGUUUGUUGUUUACAGAGAACUUACAUUGUUUGGCUUCUUGAAAUCUUUCUCGCUUUCACUAUUGUACUUUGUCUUUUGAGUGCUGGAGGAAGAAAUAAAGAAAGAAAAGAAAAACAAGCAAACUUGAGAAAGAAGUGGAAAGCAAACUCAGGACAGAAAGAAUAAUCGACACAGCCUUUAUUGGAUUCUUGCAGAAAAUAUGUGCAUUAUUGAACCAAUCAUACAAGAAAGGCUCUAUUCCAGCGCUGAAGAAUGAUAAGUCAUCCCAGAAGGUUCAUCCAGUCCCAGUUGAUUUUAGGAUGAUCCACUGGCAUAUGUUUUGGAUUACGGCUUUCUGAUAGAUGCAUCGGGUGAAGGUUUAGGGGCAAUACUUCUGCAAGGAGAAGGGCAAAAAAGAGGCUGGUGCUGUUUAUCAGCUGGAAAUUUUUUACGAGGGAAAAAAUUAUGUGGUGGUGGAGAAGGAGGCACUGGUAAUGAAAUGGGCUAUAGAUAAUUUCAAAUUGUAAGGAAUGACUUUCUGGUAGAGAGUGACCACAGAGCGCUGCAGCAGAUAUGGAGGAUGAUAUUUAUAAAUAUUCGCAUUGCUCAAUGUCACCUUGUGCUUCAGCCGUAUAGGUUCAAGGUGAGACAUAUGUUGAGAAAAGAGAAGUGUUUGGGCAAUUAUUUAUCCCGCCAGUGUUGACUUAUGUAUCAGUAUGUGGUGUAGUGCCUUAGCACCUCACCAAAGUAAAAGCAGCUGGCAAGAGCAUAACAGUUUAUAGCCAGCAUUUUCCCAUGUAAAUAGUUACAACUGUGCACUUAUCAUUUUUUCUUUGUUUGGUUGCAGCAUGAGGGUGAUGGGUAAAAGUGAUGCCAAUCGACAGUCCUGGAAGAAAGAGUUUCAGGGUGGCCAACCAUAACGCAAGAUGGCAGGUACGGUCCAGUAGCCACAAUGAAGCCAAGAUGCACAUAAAAAGAAUGGCUUACGCACAGGAAAGAGCAGGGCCCACCGGAUGAAUAAGGUGCUGUACAACAAGUGCAGGGACAGUGCUGCAGGUAUCGUGUGCAAAAGUAAUACUAAGUUAUAUAGGAGUUUUUGGGAGGAAAACGACACAUAGACAUGGUUACCAGUGCUACGUGACACCCUGGAACAUCACCCACUUUUGACAGCUAAGAAAUAUAUGGCCAUAUAAAAAGGGUGGAGUGGAUGUUAGAGGUCGGCUGUCUUUGGGCCAAAUCUGACUUUUUAGAGUCAGUAGGCGGCAACAUGGAUAGCGUGAAGGUGCACGGAGACAACUCUCCAAAUUGAUGCAGAGUGGAUGUUGUCUGUGAGUAAAGAAUGAGGUGCUGUGGAAAAAGGUUUUCUUGCAUUGGGUUAAGGAAGAAACCUUUUAUUAUUUUCCUUUCUCCUGCAAAAUUCAAUGUGCAGAACUUGUAUAUAUUGUGAAUAUUACCUUGGCUUUCCGCCUCAAGUGUUUAUCGGAUUUUUGAUUUUUCAACAGAGUUAGUGUGGACACAA
Long non-coding RNA from Erpetoichthys calabaricus (reedfish), 1504 nucleotides. RefSeq lists it as uncharacterized. The transcript is spliced from 3 exons. Lineage: Eukaryota; Metazoa; Chordata; Cladistia; Polypteriformes; Polypteridae. The record is from RefSeq and is a predicted model, not a curated record.